RNAcentral lists this ribosomal RNA (530 nucleotides) under uncultured bacterium. Its description in RNAcentral is "bacterial SSU rRNA". It matches the Rfam family "Bacterial small subunit ribosomal RNA", at positions 368 to 916 of the family's 1533-position model. The record is from RNAcentral.
ACAAUGGGCGAAMGUGNAUUCCAGCCAUGCCGCGUGAGUGAUGAAGGCCCUAGGGUUGUAAAGCUCUUUCACCGGUGAAGAUAAUGACGGUAACCGGAGAAGAAGCCCCGGCUAACUUCGUGCCAGCAGCCGCGGUUAAUACGAAGGGGGCUAGCGUUGUUCGGAAUUACUGGGCGUAAAGCGCACGUAGGCGGAUUGUUAAGUGAGGGGUGAAAUCCCAGGGCUCAACCCUGGAACUGCCUUUCAUACUGGCAGUCUUGAGUCCGAGAGAGGUGAGUGGAAUUCCGAGUGUAGAGGUGAAAUUCGUAGAUAUUCGGAGGAACACCAGUGGCGAAGGCGGCUCACUGGCUCGGUACUGACGCUGAGGUGCGAAASGUUGGGGAGCAAACAGGAUUAGAUACCCUGGUAGUCCACGCCGUAAACGAUGAGAGCUAGCCGUUGGCAGGUUUACCUGUCGGUGGCGCACUAACGCAUUAAGCUCUCCGCCUGGGGAGUACGGUCGCAAGAUUAUMACUCAAAGGAAUUGACGG